RNAcentral lists this long non-coding RNA (733 nucleotides) under Astyanax mexicanus (Mexican tetra). Its description in RNAcentral is "lncRNA (ENSAMXG00005005632.1)". The record is from RNAcentral. Lineage: Eukaryota; Metazoa; Chordata; Actinopteri; Characiformes; Acestrorhamphidae.
CAUGAUCUUGAUUUGUGAGGAUUGUAGGAAAGCUUCUAACCAUACCGUUGUGUUGUGUCUGUAGGACGGUGAUAGGGGAGAGGCAAGCAGGGCAUUGUGGGAUACGGGAGGUUGGGAACAUCACAGAAGAAUCACAGAUCACCUUUCAGUACGGACAGGCAGCAGCAAACACCAUUCUGCAGCAGGGUAGGAGUGUUAGUGUUCAGUUGUUGGUGAGGUAUUGUCGUUGGGAUGGACUGAGCAUGCUCAGAGUUCUGACCACCAACCUCCAGACCACCGAUGACAGUUCUCAGGCUGUGUGUGGUCUGGAUCUGUCGGUGCUGAUGGUGAACGCUGGUCAGACGAGUGCAGCUUUGGCCCUCAGGGGCCGAUUCCGAGACGCCCACGCCGAGAGAGACGCUCAGAAACAGCUGAUCCACCGAGCGCUUGAGUACAGACAGAAUGCUGAAGAUGAGCUGAUGUUCAGAGAGUGGAUCAGAACUUCUGACCCCAUCUACAACAACCUGGGCAUAUACACACAGUCUCUCUCAGACGCCGACGCCGCUGUGAUGUACGGCAUGAAGAACGGCUACUACCACACCGAGUCCUACUGCUAACCGCACACCGGCCACUUUAUCAGAAACACCUUCUACCACUGUGGCCACUUUAUUAGAAACACUUUGCUGUAUAAUUAAGGUGUUUUUAAUAAUUUUUGCUCAAUAAAUUAAUGUGUGAAUCUUAAAUGUGUGUCUCA